Molecule: ribosomal RNA, 1024 nt
Filed under: Austroafricana associata
Lineage: Eukaryota; Fungi; Ascomycota; Dothideomycetes; Mycosphaerellales; Teratosphaeriaceae
Description: SSU rRNA
Rfam family: Eukaryotic small subunit ribosomal RNA
Source: RNAcentral
AAACUGCGAAUGGCUCAUUAAAUCAGUUAUCGUUUAUUUGAUAGUACCUUACUACAUGGAUAACCGUGGUAAUUCUAGAGCUAAUACAUGCUAAAAACCUCGACUUCGGAAGGGGUGUAUUUAUUAGAUAAAAAACCAAUGCCCUUCGGGGCUCCUUGGUGAAUCAUAAUAACUUAACGAAUCGCAUGGCCUUGCGCCGGCGAUGGUUCAUUCAAAUUUCUGCCCUAUCAACUUUCGAUGGUAGGAUAGUGGCCUACCAUGGUAUCAACGGGUAACGGGGAAUUAGGGUUCUAUUCCGGAGAGGGAGCCUGAGAAACGGCUACCACAUCCAAGGAAGGCAGCAGGCGCGCAAAUUACCCAAUCCCGACACGGGGAGGUAGUGACAAUAAAUACUGAUACAGGGCUCUUUUGGGUCUUGUAAUUGGAAUGAGUACAAUUUAAAUCCCUUAACGAGGAACAAUUGGAGGGCAAGUCUGGUGCCAGCAGCCGCGGUAAUUCCAGCUCCAAUAGCGUAUAUUAAAGUUGUUGCAGUUAAAAAGCUCGUAGUUGAACCUUGGGCCUGGCUGGCCGGUCCGCCUCACCGCGUGUACUGGUCCGGCCGGGCCUUUCCUUCUGGGGAGCCGCAUGCCCUUCACUGGGCGUGUCGGGGAACCAGGACUUUUACUUUGAAAAAAUUAGAGUGUUCAAAGCAGGCCUUUGCUCGAAUACAUUAGCAUGGAAUAAUAGAAUAGGACGUGCGGUUCUAUUUUGUUGGUUUCUAGGACCGCCGUAAUGAUUAACAGGGAUAGUCGGGGGCAUCAGUAUUCAAUUGUCAGAGGUGAAAUUCUUGGAUUUAUUGAAGACUAACUACUGCGAAAGCAUUUGCCAAGGAUGUUUUCAUUAAUCAGUGAACGAAAGUUAGGGGAUCGAAGACGAUCAGAUACCGUCGUAGUCUUAACCAUAAACUAUGCCGACUAGGGAUCGGUGGGCGUUACUUUUUUGACCUCAUCGGCACCUUACGAGAAAUCAAAGUUUUUGGGUCUGG